RNAcentral lists this long non-coding RNA (336 nucleotides) under Phasianus colchicus (ring-necked pheasant). Its description in RNAcentral is "lncRNA (ENSPCLG00000008035.1)". The record is from RNAcentral. Lineage: Eukaryota; Metazoa; Chordata; Aves; Galliformes; Phasianidae.
AGGUUCAUUUGUAGACUCAGCUUGAGAAUUUCAAGUCAUGACUUCUGAAGAUGAGGAUUUCUAUCAGUUAAUUUCUAUUUCUAGGAGAAAGGUGGAAUUGGAAAAAAUCUGCUAGUGAGCUUACCUGUACUUACUGGAAAAUUCAAAAACAAAGAGUAUCCCAUUGAAAACAUGAUGAUUAUGGAGAUGGCACCACCAUCCACUCGUGUAAGUACAUGAGAUUUGCUGGCCCUGUUUUCUACUCUGUUCUAUUCACUGACUCACACAGCAAUUCAUCUCCAACUCACUAAGAAGGAUAUGCAUCUUUCUUCUGUCUCUCCUGCUACUACUGCAUCA